UACGGAGGGUGCGAGCGUUAAUCGGAAUUACUGGGCGUAAAGCCCACGUAGGCGGUCGUGUAAGUCGGAUGUGAAAGCCCUGGGCUUAACCUGGGAACUGCAUUCGAAACUGCACGGCUAGAGUAUGGGAGAGGGAAGCAGAAUUUCCGGUGUAGCGGUGAAAUGCGUAGAUAUCGGGAAGAACACCGGUGGCGAAGGCGGCUCUCUGGCCCGCAACUGACGCUGAGGUGCGAAAGCGUGGGGAGCAAACAGG
Molecule: ribosomal RNA, 253 nt
Filed under: uncultured bacterium
Lineage: Bacteria
Description: partial 16S ribosomal RNA
Rfam family: Bacterial small subunit ribosomal RNA
Source: RNAcentral